Grammomys surdaster is the source of this 1095-nucleotide long non-coding RNA. RefSeq lists it as uncharacterized. The transcript is spliced from 2 exons. NCBI's taxonomy places the organism in Eukaryota, Metazoa, Chordata, Mammalia, Rodentia, Muridae. The record is from RefSeq and is a predicted model, not a curated record.
CGUCUCUACCGGCAGUGCACGCAGGGCGCGGUUGUCAAAGCGCAGCCCCGCCAGCCAACGCGGCGUGGGCUCCAUGGCAGCAGCCCAGGCGGACCAGGGCGCGGACGACAGAAGCGCGAGACCGACACACCGUGGCCGGGUUCGGGCAACCGCGAGCGAGGCCCCGAACGCGGCCCUGAAAGAGGCCAUUCGCCGCGUCGCCGGAAGCCCGCUCGCCCCGACCGGAAGUUUAUCCACGCCCAAUUAUGGGCUGGUGGGAGGCACGCCCAGCAACUUGGUUCUGAUUGGUUGCCUCUCGUUUGUCCACUUCCGGGCGAGUGUUGCAGAGGGUGGACCUGAGACGCUCUUUAACUUCUGACACCUGUGCAGCAGGCUAGCCGAGUGCCAAAGCUCCCACCCAGGUGACAUACGCCAGACUGGACUACUCCAAGUAUGCCUACAGGCUGAGUGAUGUCCCUAAAAAACUACCAGGGUCCCCCAACUAGUGGUGAAGCCAAGGUCAUUCCCUGGGUACUGUGGGUUUGGCUGGUACUGUCUAUCACAUGCAUAGAAACAGAAAUGGAAUCUUUGACUGUUUUAUUGAGACAGCCAACAGAUGUGUCUUCCAUCUCAUCUUUAUCCAGCCGAUUAUAUAGGGAAUGAAUCCACGAGUGAGGACAGAAGUACACAGCCCAUCCAGCCCUGUAGCCCCUGCCCAGCUCAGUGUUUCACCUGAUUUGGCAGUCAACACAAGGACAAUCAAUGUGGUCUUGGUCUUGCCAGGCUGUGCAGUAUGCCAGGAGCCACAGCCUGUACACACAAAUGGCUGGGUGCACACAAAGCAACCAUGGCCCUAGUUCCGUGGCCCAUGGUAGAUGCCUACUGUCCUCAGUGCGGUUUGGGCAUCCCCAGCUAACACACAGUCAUCAGGCCCAGGCCCUGCCAGCACCAAGGGCAGCCUUGCAGGCUCAUAUCUGAGGCAGCCCCAAGCCACUCUAAGCUGUAGUGGAGUCUAGUAGAGGCUGGCCUGAACCCCCAAGCUGACUCUCUGACAUACACUGCCCACUCAGGGCACACAGACACAAAUAAAAAGAUGACUUCUUUGUCCUUACUGGA